UACGUAGGGCGCAAGCGUUAUCCGGAAUUAUUGGGCGUAAAGGGCUCGUAGGCGGUUUGUCGCGUCGGGAGUGAAAUCCACUGGCUUAACUGGUGGCUUGCCUUCGAUACGGGCAGACUGGAGGUAUGCAGGGGAGAACGGAAUUCCUGGUGUAGCGGUGAAAUGCGCAGAUAUCAGGAGGAACACCGGUGGCGAAGGCGGUUCUCUGGGCAUGUCCUGACGCUGAGGAGCGAAAGUGUGGGGAGCGAACAGG
This 253-nucleotide ribosomal RNA is filed under the name uncultured bacterium. RNAcentral's name for it is "partial 16S ribosomal RNA". It matches the Rfam family "Bacterial small subunit ribosomal RNA", at positions 524 to 776 of the family's 1533-position model. The record is from RNAcentral.